GACGAACGCUGGCGGCGUGCUUAACACAUGCAAGUCGAACGGAAAGGCCUGCUUUCCCUUGUGGAUUGCGGGUACUCGAGUGGCGAACGGGUGAGUAACACGUGAGUGAUCUGCCCCCAACUUGGGUAUAAGCCUGGGAAACUGGGUCUAAUUCCCGAUAGGACUGCAGGGUGGUGCCUGUGGUGGAAAACGAUUUCCUAGUGGUUGGGGAUGAGCUCGCGGCCUAUCAGCUUGUUGGUGGGGUAAUGGCCUACCAAGGCGGCGACGGGUAGCCGGCCUGAGAGGGUGGACGGCCACAUUGGGACUGAGAUACGGCCCAGACUCCUACGGGAGGCAGCAGUGGGGAAUAUUGCACAAUGGGCGGAAGCCUGAUGCAGCGACGCCGCGUGGGGGAUGACGGCCUUCGGGUUGUAAACUCCUUUCGACCGCGAGGAAGCCACCUGGUUGGAAGGGUGGUGACGGUAGUGGUAGAAGAAGCACCGGCUAACUACGUG
Molecule: ribosomal RNA, 494 nt
Filed under: uncultured bacterium
Lineage: Bacteria
Description: partial 16S ribosomal RNA
Rfam family: Bacterial small subunit ribosomal RNA
Source: RNAcentral